Molecule: long non-coding RNA, 1210 nt
Filed under: Homo sapiens (human)
Lineage: Eukaryota; Metazoa; Chordata; Mammalia; Primates; Hominidae
Description: synapse stability regulating cerebellar lncRNA
Source: RNAcentral
GGCAGCAGGGUUGGGCUCUCGCCGUGAGUCGACGAAGGGAGCGCGGGCGCGCGCCCGCGUCCGCGCACUGAGAGUCGCCUCGGCCGCUCGCUUUCUCGACUCCCGCCUCGCGCCUCGAUCCUGUUCCGCCUCCCUCGGCCCUCCUGCCCGCCCCCACUCGUCGGCCCUCAGGUUCCUGGAAAGUGAAAAUUUCAUUUCUUUGUGGACAGGUACCUAAAAUGUCUCAUUAUUCAUCAAUUAAUGAAAAACAAAUGAAAAUUUGAGAGAGAUAUUCUGAAGAAUAAAAGGAUCAAGUUGGGUCAUUUCUAAAAUCUCAGAGACCUAAUAGGAUGGGGUCUUAGAGAAACAUCUUUUGAGCCACAGACUUCUUUGUUACCAGAAGGAAAAUGAAAGAAGAAAUUUAAAUACCACUUGAAGAGAGUUUCCUCAUCAGCAAAGUCAGAAAAAGUAUGUACCUGAAGGACUGAUUGUAAGGCUGGGAUGAGAGAAUCCAUGUGAUCAGCCCUCACCAACAGGUGCUGCCCAGUUCAUGAGUGCUGCUGCUGUCCUGCCCAAGUACCCAGCUUGCAGAGUGCCAGAGUUAGAGUCCCAGGGGUGUUCUCCACAGCUGCAUGCUUGAUCCAGGCCUAUCAGGUGUUAUUUGUUGACGGAACCAGGCAUCAUCAGCAAACAAAACUGACAAAGCUUCCUGCCCUCUGUGGAAGGCAUCUGAGGAAGAGACUGGAUUUUGUAGCAACAUGUUAUUCUCAUUAUAAACUUUAUCAUUGGAAUACUAAAGCCAAAUCAUCCCCCAUCUCCUUGAUCAGGAUACCCACUUAAUCUAGGCAGCUACACAAUUGUGAGAGCCUUUGUUUUUUUCUGCUGAAACAUCCUUAAAAAGAUACCUCACAACCCAAGAUUUGGCUUUUCUUAAAUACGAUUUUUAAUUUUUUUCAUUUCUAUCUAGAGAUUUAAUUGGAAAUGGAAAAUCAUCAAUUUUCCAAUUAAAUGUCUGUUCCAAUCAACAUUAUACCUUUUAGGUUGUCAUUGUCAUUUUUAAGUUUAAGCAACUUUAAGGAUUUUGAAUCUGGCUGCCUGUAAAUUAAAGGUGAAAGUAAUCAUUGUGUUGGAUUGGAACAUUUUGUCAAUUGAGAGUGGUUUCCUUGUUCUUAGUGUAUGAAAAGUUUAUUUUUCUAAUGUAGAUUAAUAAAGGAGAUAAAGAAAAACAAAA